GCCUGGCCCUAAAUCUUGAUGCUUACCCCUACUAAAGCAUCCGCCCGAGAACUACGAGCACCAACGCUUAAAACUCUAAGGACUUGGCGGUGCCCCAAACCCACCUAGAGGAGCCUGUUCUGUAAUCGAUGAUCCACGAUAUACCUGACCAUUCCUUGCCAAAACAGCCUACAUACCGCCGUCGCCAGCUCACCUCCCCUGAAGGCCUAACAGUGAGCGCAAUAGCCCAACCACGCUAAUAAGACAGGUCAAGGUAUAGCCUAUGGAAUGGAAGUAAUGGGCUACAUUUUCUAAAUUAGAACAAACGGCAAAAAGACAUGAAACUGUCUCUGGAAGGCGGAUUUAGCAGUAAAGUCGGACAAUCGAGCCCUCUUUAAGCCGGCCCUGGGGCACGU
This 395-nucleotide ribosomal RNA is filed under the name Motacilla grandis. RNAcentral describes it as "partial 12S ribosomal RNA". It matches the Rfam family "Bacterial small subunit ribosomal RNA", at positions 794 to 1384 of the family's 1533-position model. The record is from RNAcentral. Lineage: Eukaryota; Metazoa; Chordata; Aves; Passeriformes; Motacillidae.